Molecule: long non-coding RNA, 1550 nt
Organism: Oncorhynchus keta (chum salmon)
Lineage: Eukaryota; Metazoa; Chordata; Actinopteri; Salmoniformes; Salmonidae
Exons: 3
Source: RefSeq, a predicted model, not a curated record
CCUUCAAUGCUGUAGAAAUGUUUUGGUACACUUCCUCAGGUCUGUGCCUCAACACAAUCCUGUCUCGGAGCUCUAUGGACAAUUCCUUCGACCUCAUGGCUUGGUGUUUGCUCGGACAUGUACUGUCAGCUGUGGGACCUUAUAUAGACAGAUAUGUACAUUUGCAAAUCAUGUCCAAUCAACUGAAUUUACCACAAGUGGACUCCAAUCAAGUUGAAGAAACAUCUCAUGCUCAUUUCUAUUUUAGAAUAAGGCUGUAAAAUAACAACAUGUGGAAAAAGUCAAGGGAUCUGAAUAUGUUCUGAAUGCACUUUAUGUAUAUAUGUAUAUAUGACUUAAAUAACAAAAUGUGGAAAAAGUCAAGGGAUCUGAAUAUGUUCUGAAUGCACUUUAUGUAUAUAUAUAUAUAUGACUUAAAAAAUAUAUGGGGGAUUGGAAAUGAAGCAGACAAUUACAUUGGUGGAAGCUAAAAUCUAUCUGCAAUAUGAAAGCUGAUCUACCCCCCACCAACAACAACAAAACAUGAUAAUAAAACAGAUUGAAUAUAGGAAGGACAGCUAUGUAAUGUGGAAGGAAGGGGUAAGAGUCCUUAAACUGUCAUUCUUCUUUUGUUGUUUCAUGAAUUUGUAUGUUUGAUGUUAUGUCUGGUCUUUGCCAUGUCUUUUACAUUUCACAGUGCAUUUUCUUGUACGUAAAGUAAAUAUCUGUGAAGAUCAGACAAUAAAGAAUUCUAAUCUAACAUAGUAAAUUCUCACAACAUGUGUUACUUGUCAAGAAGAUUGUGAUGCACUCCAAUAGCAUGGAUUCUCUCUGUUUGUAAGGUGAAUGUACAUGUGGUGUAACUAUGGUCUGUCUCAGUCUGUAAGGUGAAUGUACAUGUGGUGUAACUAUGGUCUGUCUCAGUCUGUAAGGUGAAUGUACAUGUGGUGUAACUAUGGUCUGUCUCAGUCUGUAAGGUGAAUGUACAUGUGGUGUAACUAUGGUCUGUCUCAGUCUGUAAGGUGAAUGUACAUGUGGUGUAACUAUGGUCUGUCUCAGUCUGUAAGGUGAAUGGACAUGUGGUGUAACUAUGGUCUGUCUCAGUCUGUAAGGUGAAUGUACAUGUGGUGUAACUAUGGUCUGUCUCAGUCUGUAAGGUGAAUGGACAUGUGGUGUAACUAUGGUCUGUCUCAGUCUGUAAGGUGAAUGGACAUGUGGUGUAACUAUGGUCUGUCUCAGUCUGUAAGGUGAAUGGACAUGUGGUGUAACUAUGGUCUGUCUCAGUCUGUAAGGUGAAUGUACAUGUGGUGUAACUAUGGUCUGUCUCAGUCUGUAAGGUGAAUGUACAUGUGGUGUAACUAUGGUCUGUCUCAGUCUGUAAGGUGAAUGUACAUGUGGUGUAACUAUGGUCUGUCUCAGUCUGUAAGGUGAAUGUACAUGUGUUGUAACUAUGGUCUGUCUCAGUCUGUAAGGUGAAUGUACAUGUGGUGUAACUAUGGUCUGUCUCUGUCUGUAAGGUGAAUGUACAUGUGGUGUAACUAUGGUCUGUCUCUGUCUGUAAGGUGAAUGUG